UACGUAGGGCGCAAGCGUUGUCCGGAAUUAUUGGGCGUAAAGCGCACGUAGGCGGCUUGGCAAGUCGGAUGUGAAAUCCCUCGGCUCAACCAAGGAAGUGCAUCCGAAACUGCUGAGCUUGAGUACUUAAGAGGAUCGCGGAAUUCCCGGUGUAGAGGUGAAAUUCGUAGAUAUCGGGAGGAACACCAGUGGCGAAGGCGGCGAUCUGGGAAGAUACUGACGCUGAGGUGCGAAAGCGUGGGGAGCAAACAGG
This 253-nucleotide ribosomal RNA is filed under the name uncultured bacterium. Its description in RNAcentral is "partial 16S ribosomal RNA". It matches the Rfam family "Bacterial small subunit ribosomal RNA", at positions 524 to 776 of the family's 1533-position model. The record is from RNAcentral.